GGACGAACGCUGGCGGCGUGCUUAACACAUGCAAGUCGAACGGUGAAGGGGUCUGCUUUUGUGGGCCCUGGAUGAGUGGCGAACGGGUGAGUAACACGUGAGUAACCUGCCCCCUUCUUCUGGAUAACCGCAUGAAAGUGUGGCUAAUACGGGAUAUUCUGGGUCUGUCGCAUGAUGGGUCUGGGAAAGAUUGCGCCUUUGGGUGUUUUUGGUGGGGGAUGGGCUCGCGGCCUAUCAGCUUGUUGGUGGGGUGAUGGCCUACCAAGGCGGUGACGGGUAGCCGGCCUGAGAGGGUGGACGGUCACACUGGGACUGAGACACGGCCCAGACUCCUACGGGAGGCAGCAGUGGGGAAUAUUGCACAAUGGGCGCAAGCCUGAUGCAGCGACGCCGCGUGAGGGAUGGAGGCCUUCGGGUUGUAAACCUCUUUCGCCAGUGAAGCAGGCCUGCUCCUUGUGGGUGGGUUGACGGUAGCUGGAUAAGAAGCGCCGGCUAACUACGUG
RNAcentral lists this ribosomal RNA (503 nucleotides) under uncultured bacterium. RNAcentral describes it as "partial 16S ribosomal RNA". It matches the Rfam family "Bacterial small subunit ribosomal RNA", at positions 27 to 507 of the family's 1533-position model. The record is from RNAcentral.